RNAcentral lists this ribosomal RNA (148 nucleotides) under Salmonella enterica subsp. enterica serovar Baildon str. R6-199. RNAcentral's name for it is "partial large subunit ribosomal RNA". It matches the Rfam family "Bacterial large subunit ribosomal RNA", at positions 1279 to 1426 of the family's 2925-position model. The record is from RNAcentral. Lineage: Bacteria; Pseudomonadati; Pseudomonadota; Gammaproteobacteria; Enterobacterales; Enterobacteriaceae.
GUAUCAGAAGUGCGAAUGCUGACAUAAGUAACGAUAAAGCGGGUGAAAAGCCCGCUCGCCGGAAGACCAAGGGUUCCUGUCCAACGUUAAUCGGGGCAGGGUGAGUCGACCCCUAAGGCGAGGCCGAAAGGCGUAGUCGAUGGGAAAC